GUGCUCACUUCCGCAGCACAAACACUAAAAUUGGAACAAUGUAGAGAAGAUUAGUAUGGCUCCUGCCCAAAAAUGACAUACAAAUUCAUGAAGCUUUCCAUCAGUUU
Molecule: small nuclear RNA, 107 nt
Organism: Piliocolobus tephrosceles (Ugandan red Colobus)
Lineage: Eukaryota; Metazoa; Chordata; Mammalia; Primates; Cercopithecidae
Source: Ensembl